GGCAAUCGGCAGCUAUACAUGCAGUCGACGGAAGUGGCCUUCGGGCUGCUUUAGUGGCAAACGGGUGCGUAACGCGUAAGCAACCUGCCCCCAACUGAGGGAUAGCCCGGCGAAAGCGGGGGUAAACCCCCAUAGUGCUUGGGUGUCACCUGACACCUUAGCUAAACAGUAUCUGGGUUGGGGAGGGGCUUGCGUCUGAUUAGGUAGUUGGGGGGGUAGUGGCCCACCAAGCCGGUGAUCAGUAGGGGUUCUGAGAGGAUUUCCCCCCACAUGGGUACUGAGAUACGGACCCAACUCCUACGGGAGGCAGCAGUAGGGAAUAUUGGGCAAUGGAGGCAACUCUGACCCAGCCAUGCCGCGUGCCGGAUGAAGGCGCUCAGCGUCGUAAACGGCUUUUAUCUACGAAGAACUGUAUGUCUGCGGGCGUACUUGACGGUAGUAGGUGAAUAAGCACCGGCUAACUCCGUGCCAGCAGCCGCGGUAAUACGGAGGGUGCGAGCGUUGUCCGGAUUUAUUGGGUUUAAAGGGUGCGUAGGUGGGUCUUUAAGUCUGGUUUGAAAGCAAGCGGCUCAACCGUUUGAUGUGGCUGGAAACUGGAGAUCUUGAAUGGGUUGGCGGCAGCCGGAAUGGGUCAUGUAGCGGUGAAAUGCAUAGAUAUGACCCGGAACACCGAUUGCGAAGGCAGGCUGCCAGGACCUGAUUGACACUGAGGCACGAGAGCAUGGGUAGCGAACAGGAUUAGAUACCCUGGUAGUCCAUGCCGUAAACGAUGAUUACUGGCUGUGUGCGUGAAGACGUGCGUGGCUCAGCGAAAGCGUUAAGUAAUCCACCUGGGGAGUACGCUGGCAACAGUGAAACUCAAGGAAUUGACGG
RNAcentral lists this ribosomal RNA (873 nucleotides) under uncultured bacterium. RNAcentral's name for it is "bacterial SSU rRNA". It matches the Rfam family "Bacterial small subunit ribosomal RNA", at positions 41 to 916 of the family's 1533-position model. The record is from RNAcentral.